GAUGAACGCUGGCGGCGUGCUUAACACAUGCAAGUCGAACGAAGCACUUUAUUUGAUUUCCUUCGGGACUGAUUAUUUUGUGGCUGAGUGGCGGACGGGUGAGUAACGCGUGGGUAACCUGCCUUGUACAGGGGGAUAACAGUUGGAAACGGCUGCUAAUACCGCAUAAGCGCACAGCAUCGCAUGAUGCAGUGUGAAAAACUCCGGUGGUAUAAGAUGGACCCGCGUUGGAUUAGCUAGUUGGUGAGGUAACGGCCCACCAAGGCGACGAUCCAUAGCCGACCUGAGAGGGUGACCGGCCACUUUGGGACUGAGACACGGCCCAAACUCCUACGGGAGGCAGCAGUGGGGAAUAUUGCACAAUGGGCGAAAGCCUGAUGCAGCGACGCCGCGUGAGCGAAGAAGUAUUUCGGUAUGUAAAGCUCUAUCAGCAGGGAAGAUAAUGACGGUACCUGACGAAGAAGCACCGGCUAAAUACGUG
RNAcentral lists this ribosomal RNA (481 nucleotides) under uncultured bacterium. RNAcentral describes it as "partial 16S ribosomal RNA". It matches the Rfam family "Bacterial small subunit ribosomal RNA", at positions 28 to 507 of the family's 1533-position model. The record is from RNAcentral.